GUGGUUUCUUUUCUUUUCUUCUUUCUGAGACAAAGUGUCUAAAAAAUGCAGUGUUGCCCAAGCCAGCCUCGAACUCCUGGGCCCCAGUGAUCCUCCCACCUCAGCCUCCUAAGUAACCAGGACUAUAGGCACACCACCACGCCCUGCUACUCUGGCAGUUUUUGAUAAGGUUAUAAGUUUCUUAUAAAAUUAAACACACCACUAUGAGCAUGCCCAGGUCAUUGGCCAGAGAGAAAUGAAAAUGUUCCUUCACCCAAAGACUUGUUAAUGGCAGUGGUAUUCAUAGAGUCCAAAAUAGAAAUAGCCCUGGUUGUAUCUAUCAAUAGGAGAAUGGAAAGACUGCAACUCACAGGUGAAAAGGAAUGGGCUAUGAGAGGCUCCAAACCAAGGGUGCAGAGGGGUGUCUCCAAAACACUGAGCCCAGUGAGAGAAACCAGAGCCACAGACCCACAGGCUGCCCACUUCAUGUGUCCCCAGGGCCUACAGCAGUGUGCAGGCCCAUGGCAGAUGUCCAACAAAUUCUGCUGAAUGAAUGGAGCUGGAGCUGCCUGCCUGUUCCACCCUGUUUGUGGAACAACCACCCCGUUCCACAAACUGCAAAGCUAACCACUUGUGUAGCUGUGAGGAAAGGGGCAGUCUUUAAGACUGUGCAUUCUGCUCCACCCAUGAGAGCCCCUUCCCCUCCCCAUCUCCCUUGGAGAGACCUGGUUCCAGGCCCUGAGUGGAUUGUCAGUGGCUCUGUAAGCCUGAAGGACCUCCACCUCCCUCUGCCUCAGUCUCCCCAUCUGUGGCAUGAGGUUAGCCAAGGUAACCUUCCAGCCCGGCUUCAACUGAACAGUGCACAUACUCACAGCAGGAUGUGUUAACAUACGAACUUCACUCAGCAGGUCUGGGGUGGGGCUGGAGAUUCAGAAUUUCUUGUUUAUUUAUUAUUCCUAUUUAUUAUUUCUAUUUUUUUAAAUUAAUUAAUUUAUUUACUUUCUUUUUUUUUUGAGACAGGGUCUCACUCUGUCGCCCAGGCUGGAGUGCAGUGGCGUGCUCUCGGGUCACUACAACCUCCACCUCCCAGGUUCAAGCGAUUCUCCUGCCUCAGCCUCCUGAGUAGCUGGGACUACAGGCAUUUGCCGCCAUGCCUAGCUAAUUUUUUGUAUUUUUAGUAGAUACGGUGUUUCACUGUGUUGACCAGGCUGGUCUCAAACUCCUGACCUCAAGUGGUCUGGCCGCCUCAGACUCCCAAAGUGCUGGGAUUACAGGUAUGAGCCACUGUACCUGGCCAGAAAGGAUAAAUGCUUGAGGUGAUGGAGAUCCCAAUUACCCUGAUUUAAUCAUAGCAUAUUAUAUGCAGGUUAUCAAAAUAUCACGUGGACCCCCAAAAUACAUACAACUAUUACAUAUCAAUUUUUAAAAUAACAAAAAGAAAAGAGAAAAACUCCCUUAUUAUCUGAAUACGUCGCAUUCUGGGACAUUGGGGCUUCAGGGGUGGGUGUCCCCUCUCUGCCCACCUUCCCUUUAUGUUUGCGGUAAUUGAUGCCCAGAGAGGUUCAGUGAUUUGUCCACAGUCACAUAGCAAGUUAGCUGCCAAGUCUGGAUCUGAGCCGGACUCUAUGUGCUUUCCAGGAAAUCACAUGUCAGAGACUUCUUGGUCCCAUUUAGAAGUCCCAAGUCAUGCAUGGUGGUCAGGAGCUGAGCACAUGGGCACCGCAGGGCAUUAAAGCCUGAAGGCUGAACAAACAGAUUCCGCCUGUGUGUCAUAAGCACGGUGAGAGCCAGUGGAUGGCAGAAUUAUUACUGUGCUCCAAGGCAGUUGGACUUGGGCAAAAUUUGGCUCAAACAAAAGGUUAUUAUAACCCAAGUGAAGAUUUUUUUUCUUCUUACUUCCCUAGACCAUCCGUAAGGAAAAUCGGGGUCCCUGCAGGCAGCUGUCCCACAUCUUGUCGGUAAGGUCACACACUAAAUGACAGAGGUCUUUGGGCUCAUGUCCAAAACGAGACACCCCUCUCACCCUCCCCCUGGCUGUGUGGCGAUCUCCUUCCUGCCUCAUCUCUGCGGCUCUGUCAUCACCUCUUAGCUUUUGCUGCUCCUCUGGCCCAUGGGAAAGAGCAGGGCUCAUAGCUUAGGGUCUGAUACACUUGGAUUCAAAUCCCAGCUCUACUGUGUGGUCCUGGGUAGGGUGGCUCAUCCUCUCUAAGCCUCGGCUUCCUCCAUCCGGAACCUCCAUCCUAACAGCCUCCAUCCAGGCUAGUAGGAGAGGUCCAUGAGAGAGUAUCUGUGAGCACCUGGCUCAGUGCCUGGCACACAGUAGGAGCUCAGUAAAUAUUGAUGCCUUUACCAGAUUGUGAGUUUCUGUUUUCUCUGCCACACGUAUGGCUAGCCUUGGAGGCUUUCCAUGUCACCAUCAAUAAUAACACGAGGCCGGGUGUGGUGGCUCACACCUGUAAUCCCAGUACCCAGCCAAGGCGGGUGCAUCACUUGAGGUCAGGAGUUUGAGGCCAGUGUGGCCAACAUGGUGAAACCCUGUCUCUACUAAAAAUACAAAAUUUGCUGGGCGUGGUGGCUUCUGCCUGUAGUCCCAGCUACUUGGGAGGCUGAGGCAGGAGAAUCACUUAAACCUGGAAGGCAGAGGUUGCAGUAAGCCAAGAUCAUGCCAUUGCACUCCAGCCUGGGCAACAAGAGCAAGACUCUGUCUCAAAAUAAAUAAAUAAAAUAGUAAUAACCCAAAUUGUGUGUCUUUCCAUGAGCAGCCCUUUCUUGCAUUUGGCUCUGCAUUGGUGCUGUGCAGAAGGCACUAGGACUAUCCUUAGACCCCAGAAAGAGGAGCCCACACUUAUGAGUUCCAAGAGGACCCCCUCUUGUGGCUGCACACCUUCAACACAAGGUCAUAUACACAUUCCACAGGGUCCAAGGGAUGUGCCCAACCUAAGCCAGAGCCCUGCAGCUUCCAAAUUGAACCCUGGGUACCCCAGGCCCCAGACUCCCUGCCUGUGGGCCUUUCCCCCAUUCAUUCUGCUGAGGGCGGAGAGGUGUACUGGUGUUUACCCAGGCUUAAGGGUGGACAAGGGGGCUGUGCUUGGGGGCUGAGCUUGAAUGGAAGGUGGGUUGUCCCCCUGUAUGGCCCAGAGCUGCUUAAGGGGGAUGACAGAGCUGGGAAUGGCGGGAGAAGAGGGGUGAGGGGAAGGCCACAGGCCAGGGCCUCAGAUGGGGGCUGGCACUCCCCAGCCACCACUUGCAGAAUCCAGCUCCAAGGAGCCUGGGAAUUUUACAUUCUAAGCUGGCCUCUAGCUCACCAUGAAAAUAAGCACGCCAAGGUGGGAGGGCGGGGUAGCUUGUCCUUAACAGCAUACUAGCCCAACAUGUAACUUUUCAACAAUGAGACAGUAUUUGCAGCAUUUGUCGUCUCGGGGUAGAACUCUGCCCCUGUCAGGGGUGUCCUGGUGUCAUCCCAGUGGUUUUCUUGACCACUGACCCACAGAGGACAACACAUUUGUCAAAUAAGGAAGGUGCUGGGCCUGAGCCUUUCAAUACACAAGUGUAGAAUAACAGGCUGAAAGGCUACAAAUAGCAUCAAAGCACGAGGGAUGAUAAUGCCUCUAGAGACCAGGUUCAAGUUCCCAUGGGACAAGUCACCUCCGCCCUUGCUGCCCAAUGUGGAUAUUAGCUUCUCUUCUCCCCAGGGCCUGUCUAGGCUCCCCCUUGGUAGCCUGGACCUUUCUCUUCCCUUCCCACACUCCAGAAUGUCUCUUCCCUUCCCACACUCCACACCCAGGCCCAGGUCAGGCACCU
Callithrix jacchus (white-tufted-ear marmoset) is the source of this 3780-nucleotide long non-coding RNA. The record is from Ensembl. NCBI's taxonomy places the organism in Eukaryota, Metazoa, Chordata, Mammalia, Primates, Cebidae.